AAUUAAGAAACAAUAAAUUGUUUUCAAUUUCGACUUGAAAUUUAGGAUUUUAUCCCUUAAUUG
This 63-nucleotide transfer RNA is filed under the name Paroligoneurus sp. QL-2014. RNAcentral's name for it is "tRNA-Arg". Lineage: Eukaryota; Metazoa; Arthropoda; Insecta; Hymenoptera; Braconidae. The record is from RNAcentral.